CAGCCGCCACGGUAAUACAGAGGGUGCAAGCGUUAAUCGGAUUUACUGGGCGUAAAGCGUGCGUAGGUGGCUGUUUAAGUCGGAUGUGAAAGCCCUGGGCUUAACCUGGGAACUGCAUUCGAUACUGGAUAGCUAGAGAUCGGUAGAGGGCAGCGGAAUUCCGGGUGUAGCGGUGAAAUGCGUAGAUAUCCGGAGGAACACCGAUGGCGAAGGCAACUGCCUGGGCCUGAUCUGACACUGAGGCACGAAAGCGUGGGUAGCAAACAGGAUUAGAUACCCGGGUAGUCCCUGUCUCUUAUAC
Molecule: ribosomal RNA, 301 nt
Filed under: uncultured bacterium
Lineage: Bacteria
Description: partial 16S ribosomal RNA
Rfam family: Bacterial small subunit ribosomal RNA
Source: RNAcentral